RNAcentral lists this ribosomal RNA (495 nucleotides) under uncultured bacterium. Its description in RNAcentral is "partial 16S ribosomal RNA". It matches the Rfam family "Bacterial small subunit ribosomal RNA", at positions 28 to 507 of the family's 1533-position model. The record is from RNAcentral.
GACGAACGCUGGCGGCGUGCCUAAUACAUGCAAGUAGAACGCUGAAGGAGGAGCUUGCUUCUCCGGAUGAGUUGCGAACGGGUGAGUAACGCGUAGGUAACCUGCCUGGUAGCGGGGGAUAACUAUUGGAAACGAUAGCUAAUACCGCAUAACAGUAGAUGUUGCAUGACAUUUGCUUAAAAGGUGCAAUUGCAUCACUACCAGAUGGACCUGCGUUGUAUUAGCUAGUUGGUGAGGUAACGGCUCACCAAGGCGACGAUACAUAGCCGACCUGAGAGGGUGAUCGGCCACACUGGGACUGAGACACGGCCCAGACUCCUACGGGAGGCAGCAGUAGGGAAUCUUCGGCAAUGGACGGAAGUCUGACCGAGCAACGCCGCGUGAGUGAAGAAGGUUUUCGGAUCGUAAAGCUCUGUUGUAAGAGAAGAACGAGUGUGAGAGUGGAAAGUUCACACUGUGACGGUAGCUUACCAGAAAGGGACGGCUAACUACGUG